GGCUCAGAACGAACGCUGGCGGCGUGCUUAACACAUGCAAGUCGAACGAACCUUCGGGUUAGUGGCGGACGGGUGAGUAACGCGUGAGAAUCUGCCCUCAGGAGGGGGAUAACGGUUGGAAACGACCGCUAAUACCCCAUAUGCCGAGGGGUGAAAAGAAAUUCGCCUGAGGAUGAGCUCGCGUCUGAUUAGCUAGUUGGUGUGGUAAUGGCGCACCAAGGCUUCGAUCAGUAGCUGGUCUGAGAGGAUGAUCAGCCACACUGGGACUGAGACACGGCCCAGACUCCUACGGGAGGCAGCAG
RNAcentral lists this ribosomal RNA (302 nucleotides) under uncultured bacterium. Its description in RNAcentral is "bacterial SSU rRNA". It matches the Rfam family "Bacterial small subunit ribosomal RNA", at positions 21 to 354 of the family's 1533-position model. The record is from RNAcentral.